AGAAUCAACGCUGGCGGCGUGCCUAACACAUGCAAGUCGAACGAGAAAGUGGAGCAAUCCAUGAGUAAAGUGGCGACCGGGUGAGUAACACGUGACUAACCUACCUUCGAGUGGGGGAUAACAUCGGGAAACCGAUGCUAAUACCGCAUAACAUCGCAAGAUCAAAGCAGCAAUGCGCUGGAAGAGGGGGUCGCGGCUGAUUAGCUAGUUGGCGGGUAACGGCCCACCAAGGCGAAGAUCGGUAGCCGGCCUGAGAGGGCGCACGGCCACACUGGAACUGAAACACGGUCCAGACUCCUACGGGAGGCAGCAGUGGGGAAUUUUGCGCAAUGGGGGAAACCCUGACGCAGCAACGCCGCGUGGAGGAUGAAGCCCCUUGGGUGUAAACUCCUUUCGACCAAGACGAUAAUGACGGUACUGGUGGAAGAAGCACCGGCUAACUCUGCGCCAGCAGCCGC
RNAcentral lists this ribosomal RNA (458 nucleotides) under uncultured bacterium. RNAcentral's name for it is "SSU rRNA". It matches the Rfam family "Bacterial small subunit ribosomal RNA", at positions 26 to 518 of the family's 1533-position model. The record is from RNAcentral.